GAGAGUAGAGUGCAUGGUAGAGCACGUGCCUAGGAUGCAUGAGGUCCUGGGUUCAAUUCCCAGUACCUCCA
RNAcentral lists this transfer RNA (71 nucleotides) under Camelus bactrianus (Bactrian camel). It matches the Rfam family "tRNA". From Rfam's summary of the family: Transfer RNA (tRNA) molecules are approximately 80 nucleotides in length. Their secondary structure includes four short double-helical elements and three loops (D, anti-codon, and T loops). Lineage: Eukaryota; Metazoa; Chordata; Mammalia; Artiodactyla; Camelidae. The record is from Rfam by way of RNAcentral. RNAcentral also lists the same sequence under 2 other names.